AAAACGCAGAGAGUUCCAGAGACCCAAAUAGAAGCAGAAAACAAUGGAAAAAAAAUGCAAAGAGAAGAGUCGAGAAACAUGAGGAAAAAGAGAGAGAAAAGAGGGGAAGAGAAACAAUAACUAGAAUUGCAAAUAAACAAGAAAGGAGCAGGAACAUCGACGUGAACAAGGUCGAAUUAUGCUUCUCGCUUGGGGUUGAUUCUUGACUGCAACAAGGUAACACCAAAUUGUAGUAGUUUAGGUUUAUGGAUUUUGUUUUCAUCAUUAUAGUUAUUGGUAGCAAUUAGACCUAAGAAGCAGGGCAAGCCCUAAGGAAGAAAGGAAAUGGGUUAAUUUGAUCAUGCGAACAAGAAUUUCAUCAUAAAAUAAUUGGAAUUUUACGUGAUGGGUUGUGCAUAAUGAUGCCCAUAUAUAGCUAAAUACAGGUACUAAGGCAAGAGAUGGGUUAGUUCAACAAAGGUAAGUAGGGUUAUUAUGAAUAUAAGUCCACCAUUAAACAUUAGUAAAGGAGUGGAGAAACAACAGGAGAAUCUUUGGCUUAAACUUUGGAGACUUGUUAAGACAUUACUGAUGAAUUCUAUAUGAAAGAAAUUUAAUGGCUUAUUUUCAAUAAAGAAAUGAUAUGGGCAAGAUUAUGGUGAAUUAUAAUUUAAUUUUAUGGUGCUAGGUUGUUUUGUUUUAUUUUCAAAGUUAAACCAAUGCUUCAAAUUGUGAAAUAUUAUAUGGACAGAAAUUUAUAUACAUUGAAUAGAAACAGGAACGAGAAUGAGUUAAAAGAGUUUUGAUUAUGGAUUUGACCAAUUGUUAUUAAUUGGUACCUGCAACAAGAGAGAGAAGAAUGGGACUCUACUUUAAAUUCUUCUUUCACCUUUAAACAAUAGUAAUGAUUUUCAACUAGAAAGUGACUGCAAUUGGAUAUUUCUUUGGUCCAUUGGCUAGGGGGUUGGAUUAAAUGGUUGCUAAUACGAAGAAAUGUUACAUUUUUCAGGAAAUAUCGAGGUCAGGACACUUGGUGAUCGAAUUAGUCCUGUGAGUGGAAAAAGAUAAAUAUUUUUAAAGUAUUUAUAAAUUAAGUUAUUUUUAAAGUAUGUGCAAUUAUAUACAAUUAUGUGUUCGAAUUACAUGAUUUUUAUGGAAAUAUCUUUUAUUAUGAUACAUGUGGGGUUUCAAAUAUUGUAUGCGUUACAUUGUGAAUUGGAAUAUGAGAUAUGAUUUUGAGAUCGACCAGAAAAGUACCCGUGAUUAUAUAUUUCUUCUAGUUCACUGAGGGGCCUUGGCCGUGUUCUAUACUACACUGAGGAGUCAUGGACCGGGGAUGAAGGGGUCUCGACCGUGUACAUAUAGUUCACUGAGGGGUCUUGGCCGUGUUCUAGAAUUGAUUUUGAGAGGUUUUUGAGACCGACUUUCGUUCACAGAGGGGCUAAGGGCCCGUGGCGAAAGUUUUUAGCCCGAGAGGCGGAUUACAUAUUUCAGUCAGAGGGUACAUUUUUUGUGGAUUUUUCAGCACGUUUGAUGUGAUGAGAUUAUAACAUGAUUAUCAACUGAUGUUUUAUCAUGAUUUCGAGAUGAUAUUUUACGACCUUAUGUGAAUAUUUCACUUUUGGUUAUAAUUACAUGAUAUUAUCUUGUGAAUUAUUAAAUGAUAUGAACUCGAUUUUUGAUAGAAAUGUAAAAUUGAAAAAGUAUAAUUAUUUUUGAACUGCUCCACUCACUGAGUUAUCAACUCAUAUAUUUUUUCACAAUUUUUCCUACAGGUGGAAAUUGAUUCUUUUUAGCUGGAAGAGCCUAAUGAUUUCAGAAUGAGAGCCACACGACAUGUUGAAUGUUAUAAUUCAUAUUAAUGAAGCACGAAAAAAAUAUUUUGGGCCCAUCAAAUUAUAUUUUAUAUAAGCACUAGAUUUUAUUGCAUUUUUUGAAAAACUCAUAGUCAGCCUUGGUGAUAGAUUUGAUAUCUAGUCAGCAUCUAUCAUCGGCGCACGUCACGUUUCGGGUCCACUAGGGUGAUUUGGGACGGGUCGUGUCAAAAUACUUCCCUUGUAUAACAUUGAAGGGGUAAUGCAAGAAUCAAUACAAGAAAUCACGCUUUACUCUCUCUUUCAUAUUAUCUUACAACACAAUACGAGUUGAUACAGAUUUAUAUUCACAUUCAUGAGCAUCGAUUGGUAAUUAUUGUACAAUCGGAUUACGAACAUCCUGUUGGAUUUCGAACGUUCUCGUCUCGCAUCGUUGAGCUACUCCCAUGCCCCUGAUUCUUCCGUUCUGGACCGUCCACGUGUCUUAGCGUGUAGGACCUUCGCUCAUGUGUGCACAAGUGGGUCCAGCAUCUAUUGGCAACACUUUUUGGGGUCAACAAAUUGGCGCAAUCUGUGAGAAAUCAUACCAUAACAACGAACAACCUUGUGGUGAAAGCUUAUUGAAGAACACUUGGGCAUCCCCCUUGAAAAAGGAUUUCAAGAACAAGAGGAAGCCCCACAACUUAGCAAAAUCUGAAGAGUUAGACUAAAAGAAAAUGAGUUCAAACGAAGACACACCCCUAGAAGGGUAAGAGAAAAUGCAAAUGUGCCUCUUCCACCCGCUGUCUCAGCAAUUCGGCAAAGACUCCACCACCACCAAAGAAGAGGUGGAAUGUGGGCGACGACACAGCUAUCAAGAGAAAUGGCUGCCAUGACGGCUAACAUGAGGGAUAGUGCUAGCCAAAACUUGGCUAUGAGGGAGCUCAUGGCCCAAAUGCAGGGCCAAGGAGGCUUCCCCAUUCCUUCAUACGCCCCUCAAGGGCACUACCAGCAAGAAGAUAAAAUUCAAAGUUAAAGAGCUGCCUUGCCGGAUUAUAGCCAAGGUGGAAGCCCAUUUGAAAGGGAAGUUGAAGUUGAUGUUUCCUCCAACUACGCCUCUGGCCGACCCACCGAGGUCCCAUUGAACCAUGAUAACUUUCCAUCUCCGUAUGAGCAAGAGUCAAGACAUAGGAGCCCAGGCAGUGUAUUUGACAGAAUCAGCCCCGCUGAACCGAGGUUUAGGCAACAGCAGACUCACCAGCCUUGGACAAGGCUACCUGCUCCACCUCCAAUGCCCCAGCAGUCGGAAGAAAGCAUGAAACUGCCCCCUGUGUUACUCCUCCUAGAAAUAGGCACCAGAGGAGGGAGAACGAGGCUAGGAACUGUCCAGGAAACUCUCACCAACUACCGUGGCAAGAGGCCGAGAAAUACGAUUCAAAUGAACAGCAAAGGUCCUGUGACUUGGACGACGACGAUGAGAAUUUGCCAUUCUCGAGAGAACUAAGGAGUGCCUAGGUCCCAAACCACUAUGUAAUGCUAAAGAUACCAAAGUAUGAUGGAAGAGGUGACCCAGAGAAGCACCUAAAUGCUUAUAAAACUCACAUGAGCCUAAGGGAUGCCACCCCAGCUGUGAAGUGUAAGGCUUUCCAUUUGACACUUAGUGGAGCAGUUGAAAUUUGGUAUAGUAGAUUACACCUGGGAGCAUAAAAAGCUGGCCCGAGUUCAAGACAACGUUCUUGAAGAGGUUCGCGGUAAGCAAAGAGGGAGAGACCCCCAUCCAACGUCUCCAAGACAUGAGACAAGCACAUGGGGAGUCCCUAAAAAGCUUCCUAUCACGCUUCACCGAUGAGAUGACGUAUUGCGGGCAAGUCACCGACCGUGAGGCACUAUCCGCAUUAAGGAGAGGUUUGAACAUGAAUACCCUAUUCUAGAGGGACGUGCAAAAUCAAGAUCCCACCACCUAUGAUACCCUACUCGAGAUGAUGAGGCAUGAAAUCAUCAAUGAAGAAUUAAUUGAGCAUAGGAACAGGGCAAGUAGGGGCCUCCCACCUCCUCAAAGGCAGCGUGCUAGAGGGCCGACCUCCCACCUGAUGGACUGCCAAAUGAACCAGGCUGGAAAUGAAAGUUCUGGCCAAGCACUUGCCAUUACCACUUUGAACGCGGUUCCUACCUUGGCAUAUGAGUAUAUCAACCCAAUUACUAACACCCAGCGGACGGAACCCCACAAGGAUCCCAUAGGGAGAGAGGUCGAGGCCAGGGUUCGGGACUUAGAAAUAGGUCAAAUCAGAACCCACCAGGAUACUGUGUACACCACCGGUCCUAUGGACACGACACAGUGGAUUGCAGAGACUAUGCGCACCGCUCCCAGCUGGAACCCCCUAGGAACAGGAAUGAAUCGCUCCAGGCAAAUAGGCCCCUGCCCAGGCACGACAACCGACAUAGGCACGAGGAGGCUACUCCCCGUCAAAGGGAUGUUUCCCCAAGACGAAGGGAAUGUGAGACGGAGAGGCCUAGAAAAGGAUGCAGGUAUCAAAGAAAUCGACAAGCCCAGGAUGAGGCCCCUAUCCACGAGAUAGACACCAUAUUUGGAGGCCCAUAUGUCGACGGUGAGACACGAAACGCCAAAAGGAAUUACGCCCGGGAAGCUAAAUACCCCACUUUGGCAGGCUACAUUGUGGACAGCAGCUCCUGGAGGAGCUAAUUUCUACCUAUUGUCUUCACCCAGGAAGACGUCGAAGGGGUUCACUACCCCAAUUGCAAUGCACUUGUUGUGAGAGCCGUCAUAGCCCGAAAUGGGCGCAAGCGAAUGUUAGUUGACAACGGUAGCUCUGUCAACAUUCUAUUCGGAUCCGCCUUUGACAAGAUGAUAUUGGAUCAUCAGUUGACACCCACCACAACUCCUCUGUACGGAUUCACUGGAGAUAGCAUCACUCUAAAGGAAAAGAUAACACUUGCAGUGGAAAUGGGAAAAUCUCCCCAAACUAUGAUGAACUUCAUGGAGUUUCUCAUUGUCGACAGUCGAUCGUCUUACCAUGGAGUAUUAGGUAGGCUAGCCUUAAAGGAAUUGAGAGCAGUCACCUCCAUCCACCACCUAUGCAUGAAAUUUCCGACGAAAAAUGGGGUGGCAAUGGUGAGAGGUGACCAAAGAGGGUCGAGAGAGUGCUAUCUAAGCUCCAUAAAAAAGGUAGAGCCUCGGGACAUCCAUGUAAUCAUAGCCGAUAUAGUCAUGGCUGACGUCCCAGGUGAUGCUCCCACUGAAUCAGAAGAUAUCGAUAUGAUAGAUACACUACCCAAUCCGGAGGUCUUGGUCAUUGAUGAGAUUGAUCCCCGUAUAAUUGAACAUGAACCUCAAACUAAUGGAAGAAAUUUUAUUUUUCCUUGUAUUGUAUGUUGAUAACAUUUUGCUUGCUAGCAGUAACUUAGGGUUGCUUCAUGAGACAAAGAAAAUGUUGUCUGCUAAUUUUGAGAUGAAAGAUCUUGAAGAAACUUCCUAUGUACUUGACAUUGAAAUACAUCGUGAUAGAAAUCGUGGUUUAUUAGGACUUUCUUAGAAAGCUUAUAUACGACGUGUUCUAGAAAGGUUUAAUAUGCAGAAUUGUGCACCUGGUGAUGUACCUAUCAUAAAAGGAGAUAAGUAUAACAAAACUUAAUGUCCAAAGAAUGAGUUGGAAAGGGAGUCUAUGAAGAUGAUCCCAUAUGCUAGUGCUGUGGAGAGCUUGAUGUAUGCUCAAAUUUACACUAGACCGGAUAUAGCCUACGCAGUAAGUGUCCUUAGCAGAUUUCAGUCUAAUCCAGGACAAGAGCAUUGGAAAGUAGCUAAGAAAGUUAUGAGAUAUUUGAAGAAAACUGAAAGUUAUAUGCUUACAUUCCAGCGUACAAAUCAUCUUGAGGUGGUAGGAUAUUCAGAUUCUGAUUUUGCUGGAUGUCGAGAUGAUUUGAAAUCAACCUCAGGUUAUAUUUUUACAUUAGCUGGUGGUGCCAUUUCUUGGAAAAGUGUUAAACAGACUUUAGUGGCGUCUUCUACUAUGCAAGCUGAAUUUGUGGCAUGUUAUGGGGCUACAGUUAAAGCCGUUUGGUUAAGAAAUUUUAUCUCUGGCUUGAAAGUUGUUUAUUCCAUCUCAAGACUGAUCACUAUCUACUGUGAUAACAGAACAGUAGUAUUCUUUUCAAAGAAUAAUAAAAGUUCUGGUAGAUCAAAACAUAUUGACAUCAAAUAUUUGGUUGUUAGAGACAGAGUCAAAGAAGCGCAGACGAAAAUAGAGCAUAUCAAUACAGAGGCGAUGGUUGCUGAUCCCUUGACUAAGGGACUCGCUCCAAAAGUUUUUAAGACACAUGUUACUAAUAUGGGUAUUGUGGAAACAUAUGAUAUUUUUGGUUAGUGGGAGUUAUUUAUGUAAAGAACUACGUUUUGGGCUUGAUCCCUUUACGGGGUACGUAGGCAACCCAUAUGUUUUCGGGUUCAGCCCCUUCUGAUAAUAAAAUAUUUUUCCCCUAUCCAUGGACUAUUUUGAGCAUGCAUUUGACUUAUGUCUUUUAUUAUAAUAUUAUUGUGAUCUUGAGAUAUGACAUGUAAAGGCAUAAGAUGAGUCUCUUUUAAAGACAUGUGGCUUCAUUUUGAUUCGAAGUAUUAUGAGGACCGAUAUGAGUUAGCACAAUUUUUGAUCACAUUUGGUGCUAAAUUCAUACCACAUACUACCACAUUGGUUGGAGGAUGGGGAUCCAUGUCGAUCAGGAUGUUGACAUUUGUAGCUGUGGAAUGGUCUUACAUCUCUUAAAUUGGUGUAAUGACUUCCAUGUUCGGUGUUAAUAUUCUUGUUGGACCGGAUGAUGUUACGUAAGGUGUUAUCAUUGGAGCUAUACUUUUGUGGCCACAUAUGUAGUCUAACCCGGGUAUUAAAACUUUUUUAUGGCAAUCAAAUGUUUGCCCAAGUGGGAGAAUGUUGGAAUAAAUAAUAAUUCUAUAUGUGGGCUUCACAUUUGAUUGCAAAAUUUUACGGGUUAGGUAUAUGGCUCAUAAUAAUAUUUGUGUUUAGGCCAAAUUUAUUAAGUGAUCAAUUGAGCCUUUUAUACUUUACGGGUUGUAAUUAAUUUGAUGUGGUAAUUUAAAGUAUGUAGGCCGGAAAUAAACCCUAAUUAGAAUUCUAGUCGUAAUGGGACGACUCAAAUUAUUUCCUAUGUAUAAAGGUUAGGUCCCCUCUCCUCUCUAUAUAUUUUUAUUAGCUUGUCCCAUUGAUAGCUAAUACUUUUGGGAGGAGCAAGGAGUGGAAGAUCUUGACUGCUAUUACAACUACUAUUUAUAUCAAUAAUGGCUUUCACAGGUAUGAAUUUGGUUUAUUAAUUUAUUAUUUGGUGAUUCUUGAUUCUUAGCAUGAUUAUAAUUAAAUUUAACACAUACACGAAUCACAAACAAAAACGGUUAGAGUAAACAUACAUACAUAACACACACACACACACACAUGUUUUAGUUGGACCAAUAACAAGGUUAAAUGAGCCAAGAGUCAAAACCAUCCAAGAGGUAAUAUAAAUGGGCCGAGUAGAGCCUUUGGACUUAGUUGUUGUAAUUAAAUGAGCCAAGAAUCGAAACAAUCUGAAAGGUAAUAUGUGUGGGUUGGGGAGAGUCUUUGGACUUGGUUGUUGGUAAUUAAUUUAUCAUUGACUAAGGCUUGUGAAGUUAAAUUCCCAUGCUUAGCAUCAUUGUUGGGGAUUUAUUGGGUAUCAAAACACAACAAAAAAAAUUCUAACAAUUGAUAAAAUCACAUAAACUUUAGAGUUCAAAUCCUCGAUUCACAUAUUUAAAUUCUUGGAUAGUUGCCAUAAACCCAACUCACCGGAUUUCCUCAUUCUUUUCUUCUCUCUCUC
This 7631-nucleotide long non-coding RNA is filed under the name Olea europaea subsp. europaea. The record is from RNAcentral. Lineage: Eukaryota; Viridiplantae; Streptophyta; Magnoliopsida; Lamiales; Oleaceae.